GCAAGUCGAGCGAAGCUUUUUAGUAGUUUACUACUAGAAAUGACUGAGCGGCGAACGGGUGAGUAACGCGAGAGCAAUCUACCUUAGUUACUGGGAUAGCCCGAGGAAACUCGGAUUAAUACCAGAUAUUCUUAUUUUUUCACAUGAAGUUUUAAGGAAAGGUCAGCCGAACUAAGAUGAGCUCGCGUUCUAUCAGCUAGUUGGUGGGGUAAAAGCCUACCAAGGCUACGACGGAUAGCUGGUCUGAGAGGACGAUCAGCCACACUGGGACUGAGACACGGCCCAGACUCCUACGGGAGGCUGCAGCAGGGAAUAUUGUGCAAUGAGCGAAAGCUUGACACAGCGACACCGCGUGUGGGAUGACGGUUCUAGGAUUGUAAACCACUUUCAGGAGGGAAGAAAAUGACGGUACCUCCACAAGAAGACCCGGCCAACUAUGUGCCAGCAGCCGCGGUAAUACAUAGGGGUCAAGCGUUGUCCGGAUUUAUUGGGCGUAAAGAGCUCGUAGGCGGUUCAACAAGUCGGUCGUAAAAGUUUAGGGCUCAACCCUAAAAUGUCGAUCGAUACUGUUGUGACUAGGAUACGGUAGAGGUGAAUGGAAUUCCGAGUGUAGCGGUGAAAUGCGUAGAUAUUCGGAGGAACACCAAUUGCGAAGGCAGUUCACUGGACCGUGAUCGACGCUGAGGAGCGAAAGCUAGGGG
Molecule: ribosomal RNA, 701 nt
Filed under: uncultured marine bacterium
Lineage: Bacteria
Description: bacterial SSU rRNA
Rfam family: Bacterial small subunit ribosomal RNA
Source: RNAcentral